AUUGAACGCUGGCGGCAUGCCUUACACAUGCAAGUCGAACGCGAAAGCGGAGCAAUCCGCAAGUAGAGUGGCGAACGGGUGAGUAAUACAUCGGAACAUUUCCAGUAGCGGGGGAUAACCUGUCGAAAGAUAGGCUAAUACCGCAUACGCCCUAAGGGGGAAAGCGGAGGACCGCAAGGCUUCGCACUAUUGGAGUGGCCGAUGUCGGAUUAGCUAGUUGGCGGGGUAAAAGCCCACCAAGGCUACGAUCCGUAGCUGGUCUGAGAGGACGAUCAGCCACACUGGAACUGAGACACGGUCCAGACUCCUACGGGAGGCAGCAGUGGGGAAUUUUGGACAAUGGGCGCAAGCCUGAUCCAGCCAUGCCGCGUGAGUGAAGAAGGCCUUCGGGUUGUAAAGCUCUUUCGGUGGGGACGAAACGGUUCGUGCUAAUACCAUGAACUAAUGACGGUACCCGAAGAAGAAGCACCGGCUAACUACGUGCCAGCCGCCGCGGUAA
RNAcentral lists this ribosomal RNA (499 nucleotides) under uncultured bacterium. Its description in RNAcentral is "partial 16S ribosomal RNA". It matches the Rfam family "Bacterial small subunit ribosomal RNA", at positions 30 to 523 of the family's 1533-position model. The record is from RNAcentral.